Molecule: long non-coding RNA, 1023 nt
Organism: Oncorhynchus keta (chum salmon)
Lineage: Eukaryota; Metazoa; Chordata; Actinopteri; Salmoniformes; Salmonidae
Exons: 3
Source: RefSeq, a predicted model, not a curated record
CACACACAGACAUCACACACACACACACACACACACACACAGACAUCACACACACAGACAUCACACACACAGACAUCACACACACAGACAUCACGCACAAAACAGAUCAUUAUCCCACAUCCAAAGUAUAAAGACCCACAAGUGAUAGUACUGACCCCCCACGUCACCUCUCACUGUCUCAACCACACAGGUGACAGUCCUGACCCCCCACGUCACCUCUCACUGUCUCAACCACACAGGUGAUAGUACUGACCCCCCACGUCACCUCUCACUGUCUCAACCACACAGGUGAUAGUCCUGACCCCCCACGUCACCUCUCACUGUCUCAACCACACAGGUGAUAGUACUGACCCCCCACGUCACCUCUCACUGUCUCAACCACACAGGUGACAGUCCUGACCCCCCACGUCACCUCUCACUGUCUCAACCACACAGGUGAUAGUACUGACCCCCCACGUCACCUCUCACUGUCUCAACCACACAGGUGACAGUCCUGACCCCCCACGUCACCUCUCACUGUCUCAACCACACAAGUGAUAGUACUGACCCCCCACGUCACCUCUCACUGUCUCAACCACACAGGUGACAGUCCUGACCCCCCACGUCACCUCUCACUGUCUCAACCACACAGGUGAUAGUACUGACCCCCCACGUCACCUCUCACUGUCUCAACCACACAGGUGACAGUCCUGACCCCCCACGUCACCUCUCACUGUCUCAACCACACAGGUGAUAGUACUGACCCCCCACGUCACCUCUCACUGUCUCAACCACACAGGUGACAGUCCUGACCCCCCACGUCACCUCUCACUGUCUCAACCACACAGGUGAUAGUCCUGACCCCCCACGUCACCUCUCACUGUCUCAACCACACAGGUGACAGUACUGACCCCCCACGUCACCUCUCACUGUCUCAACCACACAGGUGAUAGCACUGACCCCCCACGUCACCUCUCACUGUCUCAACCACACAGGUGAUAGUACUGACCCCCAUGUCACCUCUCACUGUCUCAACCACACAGG